This 497-nucleotide ribosomal RNA is filed under the name uncultured bacterium. RNAcentral's name for it is "partial 16S ribosomal RNA". It matches the Rfam family "Bacterial small subunit ribosomal RNA", at positions 28 to 507 of the family's 1533-position model. The record is from RNAcentral.
GAUGAACGCUGGCGGCGUGCCUAAUACAUGCAAGUCGAGCGAACGGACGAGAAGCUUGCUUCUCUGAUGUUAGCGGCGGACGGGUGAGUAACACGUGGAUAACCUACCUAUAAGACUGGGAUAACUUCGGGAAACCGUAGCUAAUACCGGAUAAUAUUUUGAACCGCAUGGUUCAAAAGUGAAAGACGGUCUUGCUGUCACUUAUAGAUGGAUCCGCGCUGCAUUAGCUAGUUGGUAAGGUAACGGCUUACCAAGGCAACGAUGCAUAGCCGACCUGAGAGGGUGAUCGGACACACUGGAACUGAGACACGGUCCAGACUCCUACGGGAGGCAGCAGUAGGGAAUCUUCCGCAAUGGGCGAAAGCCUGACGGAGCAACGCAGCGUGAGUGAUGAAGGUCUUCGGAUCGUAAAACUCUGUUAUUAGGGAAGAACAUAUGUGUAAGUAACUGUGCAAAUCUUGACGGUACCUAAUCAGAAAGCCACGGCUAACUACGUG